Long non-coding RNA from Ostrinia nubilalis (European corn borer), 316 nucleotides. RefSeq lists it as uncharacterized. NCBI's taxonomy places the organism in Eukaryota, Metazoa, Arthropoda, Insecta, Lepidoptera, Crambidae. The record is from RefSeq and is a predicted model, not a curated record. The transcript has 3 exons.
GGACCCCCACCAUGACUAUUACAGCCCAAGUUUUUAUUCUGAGAGCAUCAACGUCUUCGCGUCCUGUCCUGCUGGGUACUACCUGAUACCUGACCAGAAGUUGUGUGCUGCAUGCCCCUUCGGCAGUUGGUCGGACACAGGGGAGAACUCCUGCGCACCGAAACGACCUGCACAGAACGAGAACGAACCACAGCGAGAUCGAUUUCGAAGAUGUUAUUGGUGGUGGUACCCUAGCUGUGGGUGGUGCGUGGCAGGCUGGGCGGCUGCCUUCGCCUGCGCUGGCGCCGUGGCCGUGGCACACGCCAGAGGGGGCAGG